GACGAACGCUGGCGGCGUGCUUAACACAUGCAAGUCGAACGGAAAGGCCCUGCUUUUGUGGGGUGCUCGAGUGGCGAACGGGUGAGUAACACGUGAGUAACCUGUCCUUGAAUUUGGGAUAUCUUCAGGAAACUGGGGCUAAUACCGGAUAGGAGCUCCUGAUGCAUGGGGGUGGUUGGAAAAUUUCGGCGUUUGGGGAUGGACUCGCUGCUUCUCAGCUUGUUGGUGGGGUAGUGGCUUACCAAGGCUUUGACGGGUAGCCGGCCUGAGAGGUUGACCGGCCACAUUGGGCCUGCGAGACGCCCCAGACUCCUACGGGAGGCAGCAGUCGGAAACAUUGCGCAAUGAGCGGACGCCUGAUACAGAAACCCCGCGUGCGUGAUGCCGGCCUUCGGGUUGUAAACCGCUUUCGCAUGUAACGUGGCGUGAGUGACGGUAAUGAGUAAAAAAGCACCGGCUAACUACGUG
Molecule: ribosomal RNA, 468 nt
Filed under: uncultured bacterium
Lineage: Bacteria
Description: partial 16S ribosomal RNA
Rfam family: Bacterial small subunit ribosomal RNA
Source: RNAcentral